AAGUCGUAACAAGGUUUCCGUAGGUGAACCUGCGGAAGGAUCAUUAUUGAAGUCUUUAAAAAAAUCAAUGGGAGCUCUGGAUCCACUGUUGCUGGCUUCAUUUUGUUGCAUUGUGCACGUGUUUUUAUCUCUCAUUUGAUUUGAUCACAUUACCCCCACACACCUGUGAACCAUUGUGGAAAAUAAAGGCGUUUCGCCCUACUUCCAUUUUUUAUUACACACACACUAUCUAUCUAUAUGAACAUUAAUUUUGAUUUAAAAAAAAAAAAUACAACUUUCAACAACGGAUCUCUUGGCUCUC
This 301-nucleotide unclassified non-coding RNA is filed under the name fungal sp. RNAcentral's name for it is "partial internal transcribed spacer region". The stretch from base 1 to 46 matches the Rfam family "Eukaryotic small subunit ribosomal RNA", at positions 1786 to 1831 of the family's 1831-position model. Lineage: Eukaryota; Fungi. The record is from RNAcentral.